Thamnophis sirtalis is the source of this 2192-nucleotide long non-coding RNA. RefSeq lists it as uncharacterized. NCBI's taxonomy places the organism in Eukaryota, Metazoa, Chordata, Lepidosauria, Squamata, Natricidae. The record is from RefSeq and is a predicted model, not a curated record.
UCUUCCAGGACUCUGACUGACCUUGAAGGCAUGGAUCUGAAAGAUCCUUCCGUGCUGCAGAAUCCUUGCCUUCAGAUUAUUACUGCAAGGAUAAUUGUCCAGGAAGCCAAACAGAGGAGUGGGACUAGGAGAUGUACCAUAUCCAUCACAUGACAAAGGAAAAGUGUCUCUGGACAGUUCUGACUAGCAGCUUGCAUGGAUACAGAAAGAAAAUCUAAGUGACCCCAAUGAAGGUUUCUUUAGAGCAGGCCUUGGGGAUGUACAUGGCAUGAAGUACACCAUGUUUCAGUAUAUUUCAAAUCAAGUAUCCACUGGAGUCAAAUGACAAUUCACUCUAGUAUUUUACCAAGAAAUACUUGAAGCUGACCCUCACAACAACUCCUCUGCCCUGCCAGAAGAUACCCAAGAAGCUAUUGAGGAAGAGCCGAGGGCAAUCACAACUAAUACUUCUGCAUAUGAUGUAGCUGCACUGGAAACAUCCAGCAAUUGUUGUGGCCAAAGGCAAAGAGAAGUCUGAUGCUGCACCAUCUAUGUUAAUGAUCUGUGGAAUGUCAAAACUGAAAACCAAAACAAGCCUAAUGUUGUACCUGAAGAAGUAUAAAGACUGAUCAUGGAUGUUCAUUAUUAGACACGAGUAUGCUGGAUCAUUUAAUAUAAGGAAAGUAUCAAAUAAUCCACUGGUGACAAUAAAAUCAUAGAAAAAAAUAAAAUAGCCAUCAUUAUUAAUAAAGGAAUGUCAAAAUCAGAGCUCAGAUGCAAGCUCCAAGAUGAUUGAAUGAUCUCAGAGUCCAGUGCAAGCCAAUCAUUAUUAUGGUGAUCUACAUCAAUGCUCCAGUCACAGAUACAAAGGGAACCGAUGCAGAAUGGUUCUACAGCCACCUGCAGUAUCUUAUUGACACAACCAAGACAUCAUAUUGACUACAGGAGAGUGGAAUGCUAAAACUGAAAGUAAAAUAGCAAAACAGAAAUGUCAUGAGUUAAUGGGAAAAACGCUGUUUCUCUUUACUACCUUUAAGGACCUCACCCUUACCUUAUUUGGGGAAUUGUCUCAUUUUUUAAGUUCUCAGAUGAAAUGGAAGCUAUGGACACAUGAAGGAAUAGAAGAGUCAAAGGAGAAAAGGAAAGGGGAUGCUCAAAAAGAUAAAAUGAGAAAAGUGAUAUAUCUGCCUGCAUAGGUAACAAAAGAGUGGCAAUGGCUGGUCGGUGCAAUAUGGAACUAAGGCAACAAAAUGUCACACCUGAUGUCAACUGACAUCCCCUUUGCAACCCGGAUACAUGCUGGCAAAGUGAAACCAAUGGAGCCUAAAAAGACUUGGGAGAUUGACAACUAUGAUAAAGCUUCCCAGAUUCUCCAUUAACCAACCCAUAAAUAAAUAAGAUGCUGGGUCCUUAAAGAUGACUCCAGAGUGUUGAGUGUGGUCUAAAUGUAGGCAUUUUGGAGAAUUUGGGCAGUGAAAACUGGAAUCCAGGAACAAGCAAGACCUAUAUAUAGCCUAGGUGUUAGCAUUCUGAAGGAUUGACUGAUGAAGACUCUAGGAAAAAGAAAAUCUAGGAUGGCACCUACUUAGUUUGUAGUCUUUCAGAUUACAUUAUAAUACUAACCAGUAGAAUAGUUUCUAACUAUUGCCAAGAUGUAUAGGGACACUUUUAAUGUAAGUUGGUUCUUAAUUGCUUGUCAAUACAAGCAGUUGUUACUUUUAAAUUAAUAAAGACCUGGCAGUUAAAUAUUCAAUGACCUAAGAUAUGCUUAUUUGAUAUAGUCAGAAAUGAAAAAAUGGAUUCUUUGACACCAGAAAAUAGCCACAGCUUUAGAGGGCUCACUUUGUGGUUCCAGAGCAUUAUCUCUUCUGCUACUCACCAAAGAAAAUGACAAACGUUAUCCUUCCUUGGUAGCAUAGGACCAUUCAAAAUAUGCAAGUCAAGAAAGUUUGUUGUAAAAUCUUCUCAGUGUUAAUAUUUUCACUCAGUGAAGCCUGUCAAGCAAUUUAACACAGUGACAAAUCCAUAAUAUCAAAAUGAAAGAUUUUUACAUGUUAGUUAAAUACUCUAAAUGAAUCCAUGCUUUUGCAGGCAUCAUUUAUCAUUUAUGGAAAGUUGCUGAGUAAAUCCUUUGGACUUUAUACCAUCACAUUCAUCCUUGUUCCAACUAAUGUAAUUCAAGCACAGUAUUGAUAUUUCUCUCUAGGUUUUUA